This 700-nucleotide ribosomal RNA is filed under the name uncultured bacterium. RNAcentral describes it as "bacterial SSU rRNA". It matches the Rfam family "Bacterial small subunit ribosomal RNA", at positions 54 to 780 of the family's 1533-position model. The record is from RNAcentral.
CAUGCAAGUCGAACGAGGUAGCAAUACCUAGUGGCGCACGGGUGAGUAACGCGUGGAUAAUCUGCCUUUGAGUGGGGGAUAACUAGUCGAAAGAUUAGCUAAUACCGCAUAAGACCACAGGAUCUGAGGAUCUAGGGGUUAAAGGUUUUUCGCUCAUAGAUGAGUCCGCGUGAGAUUAGCUAGUUGGUGAGGUAACGGCUCACCAAGGCGACGAUCUCUAACUGGUCUGAGAGGAUGAUCAGUCACACUGGAACUGAGACACGGUCCAGACUCCUACGGGAGGCAGCAGUAGGGAAUAUUGCACAAUGGAGGAAACUCUGAUGCAGCGACGCCGCGUGAGUGAUGAAGGCUUUCGGGUCGUAAAGCUCUGUCGCAGGGGAAUAACACAAUGAAUGUACCCUGUAAGAAAGGAUCGGCUAACUUCGUGCCAGCAGCCGCGGUAAGACGAGGGAUCCUAGCGUUGUUCGGAAUUAUUGGGCGUAAAGCGGGUGUAGGUGGCUUUGUAAGUCAGGUGUGAAAGCCUAGGGCUCAACCCUAGAAGUGCAUUUGAUACUGCGAAGCUUGAGUGUUGGAGAGGAUAGUAGAAUUGUUGGUGUAGUGGUAAAAUACGUAGAUAUCAACAGGAAUACCGGAGGCGAAGGCGGCUAUCUGGCCAAACACUGACACUGAGAUCCGAAAGCGUGGGGAUCAAACAGGAUUA